This 429-nucleotide ribosomal RNA is filed under the name uncultured Halomonas sp. RNAcentral's name for it is "bacterial SSU rRNA". It matches the Rfam family "Bacterial small subunit ribosomal RNA", at positions 955 to 1382 of the family's 1533-position model. The record is from RNAcentral. Lineage: Bacteria; Pseudomonadati; Pseudomonadota; Gammaproteobacteria; Oceanospirillales; Halomonadaceae.
UGCAACGACGAAGAACCUUACCUACCCUUGACAUCCUGCGAAUUUGGUAGAGAUACCUUAGUGCCUUCGGAACGCAGAGACAGGUGCUGCAUGGCUGUCGUCAGCUCGUGUUGUGAAAUGUUGGGUUAAGUCCCGUAACGAGCGCAACCCUUGUCCUUAUUUGCCAGCGCGUAAUGGCGGGAACUCUAAGGAGACUGCCGGUGACAAACCGGAGGAAGGUGGGGGACGACGUCAAGUCAUCAUGGCCCUUACGGGUAGGGCUACACACGUGCUACAAUGGCCGGUACAAAGGGCUGCGAACUCGCGAGAGUCAGCGAAUCCCUUAAAGCCGGUCUCAGUCCGGAUCGGAGUCUGCAACUCGACUCCGUGAAGUCGGAAUCGCUAGUAAUCGUGAAUCAGAAUGUCACGGUGAAUACGUUCCCGGGCCUU